CUGCUCUAAAACGUCCGGUGUGUUCCGGCCCAAGUGCCUGCUCAGGUUUAAAGGGGGUUUCUUUUGCUAGUACUUAAAAAAGUUAAAAAUAAUCACUACUAUUAAAUAGAUCUUUAGUGUGUUUUAAAUGGCAAAAGCACUUCACUCAGAAUUGGUGAUUCUGUUUCAUGCGUGUGUUAAGUGGGGAUAGGUUUGUGGCAAGAGUUGGAUGCUGUUAUCUUGCUGAAUGGAGAAAGUAUAAUUUACUACAUGAUCAUGCUGUGGAGCAUUUCACUGAGUUUCUUCUGGGUGCCUGGAUUUUGUGACCGUUUGGUGGCCUUUAAGAAGAGACUUUAUGUUUUAUUUCAACAGGGUUAACAUAAACAUAGUGUUUUAAGCUUAAAAUGAUGGAAAACCCCUACGUAGAUCUUCCAACGUGGACAUUCCAACAGGAAGCUAUAAAGAGAAGUAAAAGUGACAGCACAUUAUCAGUGAAAAAUAAGACUAGGUUUAAAAAGAAUUACAGACGCUCUUCCAGGUGGCAGACCCGAGUCAGCCAGGAACUGUCAACCUGGAGAUGAAGUGCCUCGCUGGGUGGCCUGCGCAUCAUGUGUGAUGAGGGAAGUGCUCCUGCUGUCACUCAGUCAUGAAUUCCUGUGCGUGGUGGGUUCCAGCAGUCAGCCAGAGGCUAUCAUCAAACUUGUUUUGCUUUGUAUUAAAUUAAACUCACUAGAAACAGUGCAAGGUCAGGAAAGGCAGUUAUCAAGGCCUUCGACCUCUAAGACUUUACAUUUGCUGUGAGUAGACCUUAGCAUGCCAGGAGAAGUUUCUCAUCAAAACCCAGCUUCCAUCAGCAAAGACAGGAGGAAGCCAAGUCAGGACCAGAGCCCCCUCUCUCCUGUAGACGGAGGAUACAUUCAGGAACUCAGAACCUGGAGGAGAGAAUGUUCAAACCAGAAGGCCCCUGGAAGACUGUGCCUGAAACGCGGCUAAGGCACCACCAGGCUGAACAGAAAACGGGGGCCUUAUCAGAGAGAAGGGAAGGGCCCCAUAGUCCAAACGCCCAGGAGGCUCCGACCUGACCCGCGGCCACGAGUGUUUGCUGCAGGACGAGAAUCUGGGGAAGAUGCAGCCAAGAAAAUGGCCUGGCCGGGCCGGGAAGAGCAGCCCACAGAGACCCGCAGCACAGAGAGGGAUGCGGGGAGCCUGCCCUGGGAGCCACCCCGGCUGAGGCUCAGGAGGGGAGCUGCGAAGCCUGAAACCCAUCGAUGAUGGCUGGUGAUGAAAACAUGUGGGUGGACCUGCUUUGAUGGCGAGAUGGACAGGUCUGAGCUCACACAUCCUCGGGAAAACAAAUAAAACUCUGUGGAAAUGGACAUGAGACACUGGGCCCUCAUUCCCCAACUUGUAGAGAUGACUGAGAAAAGCUUCCAGAAACUCGAGGACAUCACAACUUCCAGCUGGGUCAAACUCAGGGUGCUGUGAGGCCUGGGCAGAGAGACCCCCAGGGUUUCCCAGGGAUGGCGGAGUCUCUGGAGGAAGGAGACACCAUGAAGAUGGGGAUGGAAGCUGCCUGCCCCAUGGAGAGGGGAGGGGGCCGGCCACUCUCACCCCUCGAACAAAAACCGGGUGGAACCUGAGAGGAGCAAAGAAACAAACACAACCCUCACACACCUCAGGACACACACACAACACCUCACACACCUCAGGACACA
This 1694-nucleotide long non-coding RNA is filed under the name Homo sapiens (human). RNAcentral describes it as "HSALNT0338482". Lineage: Eukaryota; Metazoa; Chordata; Mammalia; Primates; Hominidae. The record is from RNAcentral.